RNAcentral lists this unclassified non-coding RNA (1656 nucleotides) under Hevea brasiliensis (rubber tree). The record is from RNAcentral. Lineage: Eukaryota; Viridiplantae; Streptophyta; Magnoliopsida; Malpighiales; Euphorbiaceae.
GCUGACGAUGCUUUUGCUGGAAUGAACUCCUUGACUCAACUUUAUUUGGCAAAUAACAACUUCACGGGCCCAAUCCCUUCUGCGCUUCUUCCCUUGCCCAAGCUUGUCAAACUCAGCCUCGAGAAUAAUCAAUUUGAAGGCCAAAUACCGGACUUUCAACACGACUUCUUAUUGUUUAACGUCUCCAAUAACCAUUUGAACGGUCACAUUCCGGUUGCCCUUGCCGGCAUCAAUCUAGCCUCUUUUGCAGGUGAUCUUUGCAAUUGAUUUAGUUGACCUUGCUAUGAAAAAGUUUUUUGUUUUAUGAAUGACAUUUAAUAAUUCAAUUUGUAUGGAGCAGGGAACGAUGGCCUAUGUGGAAAGCCACUGUCUGCAUGCAAGUCCUCCAGGAAGAAGACCAUAAUAAUAAUCGCGGUAGUGUCGGCAAGUGUGAUUGCAUUAGCUGCCCUGGUUGCAGUUGCUUAUUUCCGCGGCCGCCGAACCAAAACGACCCAAGUGAAGCAGCUCCAAGUCCAAGGGACUAAAGCACAAACCAAAUUUGCUGUUAUGGGCCGAAAAGAAUUUGUUCAAUCGCCUGAUCACGAUCACAAGGGCCAGUUGCAUUUCGUUAGGAACGACAGAGAGAGAUUUGACUUGCAAGAACUUCUGAGGGCCUCUGCUGAGGUUUUGGGAAGCGGGAAUUUUGGGUCAUCUUAUAAGGCACUUCUUUUAGAUGGGUCUGCCAUGGUUGUGAAGAGGUUUAGGGAAAUGAAUAAUGUCGGCAAGGAAGAAUUUCAGGAGCACAUGGCUAGGCUAGGAAGGAUGUCGCACUGUAAUUUGCUCCCUCUCGUCGCAUUCUACCAUAGGAAAGAUGAAAAGCUUUUAAUUUUUGACUUUAUUGAAAAUGGGAGUUUGGCUAGUCAUCUUCAUGGUAUUUCUCUCAUCUUUUACAUUUUCUAAACCACUAAGGUAAACUCUUUAAUGUAACAAAACUGGAACUUAAAGAUGGAAAUUUCUGUCUUGAUUGAUUUCAGCUAAGCGUGCCUCCGGACAACCAGGGCUGGACUGGCCAACUCGCCUAAAAAUCAUCAAAGGGGUAGCCAGGGGAUUGGCCUACCUCCACAAGGAGUUCCCUAACCUAACUCUACCGCAUGGUCACCUGAAAUCCUCUAACGUGCUUCUGGACCAUACUUUCGAGCCCCUGUUGACGGACUAUGGGUUGGUGCCUGUGGUAAACAAAGCUCAUGCUCAACAAGUUAUGGUAGCGUACAAGUCCCCAGAAUUCAUCCAAAGUGACCGCACCACAACAAAGACCGAUGUGUGGAGUCUCGGCAUUCUAAUCCUGGAGCUGUUGACCGGUAAGUUUCCGGCCAAUUAUCUUAGACAAGGUAAAGGCGCCAAUGCUGAUCUAGCGACUUGGGUAAAUUCAGUUGUCAGAGAAGAAUGGACGGGAGAGGUGUUUGAUAUGGAUAUGAGAGGGACUAAGCAUGGCGAGGGUGAGUUGCUGAAGCUCUUGAAGAUAGGGAUGUGCUGCUGUGAAUGGAGAGUGGAGAGAAGGUGGGAUUUGAGGGAGGCUGUGGACAAGAUCGAGGAGUUGAAGGAGAGAGACAGCGAUGAUGACUUCAGUUCCUACGCAAGUGAAGGAGAACUCUACUCUUCCAGAGCAAUGACUGAGGA